This 390-nucleotide ribosomal RNA is filed under the name uncultured bacterium. RNAcentral's name for it is "bacterial SSU rRNA". It matches the Rfam family "Bacterial small subunit ribosomal RNA", at positions 28 to 418 of the family's 1533-position model. The record is from RNAcentral.
GACGAACGCUGGCGGCGUGCUUAAUACAUGCAAGUCAACUUGACUUUAGAUAGCAAUAUCGAAAAGUAGGGUGGCGCACGGGUGCGUAACGCGUAGGUAAUCUGCCCUGAGGUCUGACAUAACCCGUCGAAAGGCGGGCUAACAUCAGAUGAUAUAUAAUCACGACAUCGUGGAAAUAUCAAAUCUUCGGAGCCUUGGGAUGAGCCUGCGUCUGAUUAGGUAGUUGGCGGAGUAAUAGCCCACAAGCCUACGAUCAGUAGCUGGUCUGAGAGGAUGAUCAGCCACACUGGAACUGAGACACGGUCCAGACUCCUACGGGAGGCAGCAGUAAGGAUAUUGCUCAAUGGGGAAACCCUGAAGCAGCAACGCCGCGUGAAGGAUAGAAAUUAC